Molecule: ribosomal RNA, 432 nt
Filed under: uncultured bacterium
Lineage: Bacteria
Description: bacterial SSU rRNA
Rfam family: Bacterial small subunit ribosomal RNA
Source: RNAcentral
ACUCCUACGGGAGGCAGCAGUAGGGAAUCUUCCACAAUGGGCGCAAGCCUGAUGGAGCAACACCGCGUGAGUGAAGAAGGGUUUCGGCUCGUAAAGCUCUGUUGUUAAAGAAGAACACGUAUGAGAGUAACUGUUCAUACGUUGACGGUAUUUAACCAGAAAGUCACGGCUAACUACGUGCCAGCAGCCGCGGUAAUACGUAGGUGGCAAGCGUUAUCCGGAUUUAUUGGGCGUAAAGAGAGUGCAGGCGGUUUUCUAAGUCUGAUGUGAAAGCCUUCGGCUUAACCGGAGAAGUGCAUCGGAAACUGGAUAACUUGAGUGCAGAAGAGGUAGUGGAACUCCAUGUGUAGCGGUGGAAUGCGUAGAUAUAUGGAAGAACACCAGUGGCGAGGCGGCUACCUGGUCUGCAACGUGACGCUGAGACUCGAAAGC